This 312-nucleotide long non-coding RNA is filed under the name Medicago truncatula (barrel medic). Its description in RNAcentral is "lncRNA gene23927". Lineage: Eukaryota; Viridiplantae; Streptophyta; Magnoliopsida; Fabales; Fabaceae. The record is from RNAcentral.
GCACAUUUAACGCAUUUAGCUCAUGCUUAGGGCUCGACAAUUGACCUUGUCUUAGACAAAAUAGAGAAAUGAGACAUUCUCAUUUAUCAUUAUUGAUCACUACACACAUCAUCCCAUUGAAUUGAAUUGAAUUGAUCUCACCCUUACCUCAUGAUUUGAUCUUUACCGCCAAGUGUGUUUUUGAGACGAAAACAAAGGUUCAACGAGCACAAUUUAUAAACAAAAGUUCGUAAAAAUUUAAGCCGAAGAAUCAUACUCUACGAUUAACACUAUAGAAACAAUGAACUCAAUCCCUAGCAAGCAAAGUGAUAC